AUGAGUCUGAAGAAUGUUCCAGCUGCAAACCUCAAUGUGGUCAAUGCCAGUGCCUACAGCCAGGGGCUGAGGGAAGGAGGAGGUUGUAAGUGGAGCUGUUGUGUCCCCCACUUGGAAACCCCUCUGAGGAGAGAAGAGAUGGAUCCCGACCCUUCGGUUUCACCUCCUGUGUUUCUCCAACACUCAAGUGGGCUCCACCACCCAAGCCUCUCUGGUGGCUUCAGGAAACCAGCCCGUCCUCUUCGUGUACCUCUUCUGUGUGCACCUGGCUAUGGGCGCCCGGUAGCCUCGUUGACCCUUACAGGCACUUAUGUUGUGUGCUGA
Molecule: long non-coding RNA, 324 nt
Filed under: Felis catus (domestic cat)
Lineage: Eukaryota; Metazoa; Chordata; Mammalia; Carnivora; Felidae
Description: lncRNA (ENSFCAG00000053525.1)
Source: RNAcentral